GACGAACGCUGGCGGCGUGCUUAACACAUGCAAGUCGAGCGGUAAGGCCCUUUCGGGGGUACGACGAGCGGCGAACGGGUGAGUAACACGUGGGUGACCUGCCUUCAGCUCUGGGAUAAGCCUGGGAAACUGGGUCUAAUACUGGAUAUUACUCUGCGGUGCAUGCCGUGGGGUGGAAAGCCUUGUGCGGCUGGGGAGUGGGCCCGCGGCCUAUCAGCUUGUUGGUGGGGUGAUGGCCUACCAAGGCGACGACGGGUAGCCGGCCUGAGAGGGCGACCGGCCACACUGGGACUGAGACACGGCCCAGACUCCUACGGGAGGCAGCAGUGGGGAAUCUUGCGCAAUGGGCGAAA
Molecule: ribosomal RNA, 353 nt
Filed under: uncultured bacterium
Lineage: Bacteria
Description: bacterial SSU rRNA
Rfam family: Bacterial small subunit ribosomal RNA
Source: RNAcentral